RNAcentral lists this ribosomal RNA (593 nucleotides) under Bacillus sp. CH454a_14D. RNAcentral's name for it is "bacterial SSU rRNA". It matches the Rfam family "Bacterial small subunit ribosomal RNA", at positions 56 to 632 of the family's 1533-position model. Lineage: Bacteria; Bacillati; Bacillota; Bacilli; Caryophanales; Bacillaceae. The record is from RNAcentral.
UGCAAGUCGAGCGGACAGAAGGGAGCUUGCUCCCGGAUGUUAGCGGCGGACGGGUGAGUAACACGUGGGUAACCUGCCUGUAAGACUGGGAUAACUCCGGGAAACCGGAGCUAAUACCGGAUAGUUCCUUGAACCGCAUGGUUCAAGGAUGAAAGACGGUUUCGGCUGUCACUUGCAGAUGGACCCGCGGCGCAUUAGCUAGUUGGUGAGGUAACGGCUCACCAAGGCGACGAUGCGUAGCCGACCUGAGAGGGUGAUCGGCCACACUGGGACUGAGACACGGCCCAGACUCCUACGGGAGGCAGCAGUAGGGAAUCUUCCGCAAUGGACGAAAGUCUGACGGAGCAACGCCGCGUGAGUGAUGAAGGUUUUCGGAUCGUAAAGCUCUGUUGUUAGGGAAGAACAAGUGCAAGAGUAACUGCUUGCACCUUGACGGUACCUAACCAGAAAGCCACGGCUAACUACGUGCCAGCAGCCGCGGUAAUACGUAGGUGGCAAGCGUUGUCCGGAAUUAUUGGGCGUAAAGGGCUCGCAGGCGGUUUCUUAAGUCUGAUGUGAAAGCCCCCGGCUCAACCGGGGAGGGUCAUUGGAAA